This 519-nucleotide ribosomal RNA is filed under the name uncultured bacterium. RNAcentral's name for it is "bacterial SSU rRNA". It matches the Rfam family "Archaeal small subunit ribosomal RNA", at positions 345 to 866 of the family's 1478-position model. The record is from RNAcentral.
AACCUCCGCAAUGUGAGAAAUCGCGACGGGGGGAUCCCAAGGGCCAUUCUUAACGGGAUGGCUUUUCUUAAGUGUAAAAAGCUUUUGGAAUAAGAGCUGGGCAAGACCGGUGCCAGCCGCCGCGGUAACACCGGCAGCUCUAGUGGUAGCUGUUUUUAUUGGGCCUAAAGCGUUCGUAGCCGGUUUGAUAAGUCACUGGUGAAAUCCUGUAGCUUAACUGUGGGAAUUGCUGGUGAUACUGUUGAACUUGAGGUCGGGAGAGGUUAGCGGUACUCCCAGGGUAGAGGUGAAAUUCUGUAAUCCUGGGAGGACCACCUGUGGCGAAGGCGGCUAACUGGAACGAACCUGACGGUGAGGGACGAAAGCUAGGGGCGCGAACCGGAUUAGAUACCCGGGUAGUCCUAGCCGUAACGAUGCGGACUUGGUGUUGGGAUGGCUUUGAGCCGCUCCGGUGCCGAAGGGAAGCUGUCAAGUCCGCCGCCUGGGAAGUCGGUCGCAAGACUGAAACUUAAAGGAAUU